ACCGGAUAACAUUUUGAACNGCAUGGUUCGAAAUUGAAAGGCGGCUUCGGCUGUCACUUAUGGAUGGACCCGCGUCGCAUUAGCUAGUUGGUGAGGUAACGGCUCACCAAGGCAACGAUGCGUAGCCGACCUGAGAGGGUGAUCGGCCACACUGGGACUGAGACACGGCCCAGACUCCUACGGGAGGCAGCAGUAGGGAAUCUUCCGCAAUGGACGAAAGUCUGACGGAGCAACGCCGCGUGAGUGAUGAAGGCUUUCGGGUCGUAAAACUCUGUUGUUAGGGAAGAACAAGUGCUAGUUGAAUAAGCUGGCACCUUGACGGUACCUAACCAGAAAGCCACGGCUAACUACGUGCCAGCAGCCGCGGUAAUACGUAGGUGGCAAGCGUUAUCCGGAAUUAUUGGGCGUAAAGCGCGCGCAGGUGGUUUCUUAAGUCUGAUGUGAAAGCCCACGGCUCAACCGUGGAGGGUCAUUGGAAACUGGGAGACUUGAGUGCAGAAGAGGAAAGUGGAAUUCCAUGUGUAGCGGU
RNAcentral lists this ribosomal RNA (529 nucleotides) under Bacillus thuringiensis. RNAcentral's name for it is "bacterial SSU rRNA". It matches the Rfam family "Bacterial small subunit ribosomal RNA", at positions 168 to 682 of the family's 1533-position model. The record is from RNAcentral. Lineage: Bacteria; Bacillati; Bacillota; Bacilli; Caryophanales; Bacillaceae.